Molecule: ribosomal RNA, 271 nt
Filed under: uncultured bacterium
Lineage: Bacteria
Description: partial 16S ribosomal RNA
Rfam family: Bacterial small subunit ribosomal RNA
Source: RNAcentral
UACGGAGGGUGCGAGCGUUGUUCGGAAUUACUGGGCGUAAAGCGCGUGUAGGCGGCUUCUUAAGUCUGAUGUGAAAGCCCGGGGCUUACCCCCGGAAGUGCAUUGGAAACUGGGAGGCUUGAGUACCGGAGAGGAGGGUGGAAUUCCUGGUGUAGCGGUGAAAUGCGUAGAUAUCAGGAGGAACACCGGUGGCGAAGGCGGCCCUCUGGACGGAUACUGACGCUGAGACGCGAAAGCGUGGGGAGCAAACAGGAUUAGAUACCCUAGUAGU